UGCUGACAGUCACGAUGUUACACAAACGUGUGCCAUAAGCAUACAAAACAGGCCCGUAAAAGAGAUGAAACGUGGGUGCCGAAAAGUCACUCAUCACGGAAUUGUAGUGUACUGCAGUGUGACACUUGCCUCAAUUGCCAGUCAUACACUCUAUAGUGUUUACCCGGGUUGAGCACAAGUAAGGCUUCACAGUUAAUCAUGAGGGGUAGCCGACGCGUAUAAUACUGGGUAGAGCGACUGAACGUAUUUCGGAUCAGAUUUUUGUGUUCCCGCCCUAUAUCAAAGCACACAGGUUUUAGAUCAAUCGCGUAGAAAGGCACCUAAAGGUUAGCUCUCCCCUUACAAAAAGCAAUUUUUUUGGCUUCCGUAGCUGCACUCUGCAUCAUCUCUCUCUGCUACUCUGUUUUUUGGUGGAUUUUUUUCUUUGUCAAUUUUGCCACCUGAAGUACCAUUUUUCAUUUAAAAUUUUUGUUAGUGUCCUCCCUGCUCUAACUUCCCUAGUAACACAAGAUUGUCGCACAUAGUGUGAUUUUUAUCUAUCGUCCAAUUAUUGUGACAAUAACGAAAAUCCAAAAGUGGUGGCUUUCCCAUAGUCAGACGAUUGUCGCUGGUCUAUCAAAUUUAAACCAUCUACAAUUCUGUUGUAUUUUUAUCGAUUCCUGAUCGCAUCCACAACAGUGGUUUUUGGCUUCCAUUACGAUAGCUGGCCGUUAACGAUUUUCGUUUCGAGGAAAAAAAAUAGUAUCCCGAUAGAAUCAUUUUUCUCAUUUCGUAUAUCGCACCGAUGGUUCGUAUUUUUUUUCUACUGUUGUCCGACUGUCGUACGACAGUUAUGUGUUACUAGGGUUGUCAAUUUAUUCAAAUUUGCUGUGAAAUAAAGUCUAAUUAAAAUAAUGCGUAAACCAUCGCAGUGAUCAAGUUUUGAUGCCACUAAUAAAUAAUUUUUUGAAAAGGUAAACAUGACAAAGUCUUUUAAAGUUACCUGACUAUCGCUUUCCAACAACUUUUCUGUUAAUGUAAGAUCUCGUUCUUUUCACAUUUCCUCCUACCUCAUAUGAAAGCGUUUUCAUGAGUAGUUUCGUAUUCGUACAAAUAUCUUUUGGGAAGUCUACGUAUCCCAUCUUACAGGUAGAGUAUAAUGAACUGUGUUGUUACAUGACAUGGCUUUGUAUUGUUUUAAAGGUAAGACAUUCUUGUUUGUAUUCCCAGACUUCAGAAGGCUUCUUUCCGCUGAUUCUCCUCGCUCAGAAAUUCGUGUUUCCGAGCGGGUUGCUCAUUUGAAGUGCCAUCAGAAAAAAUAGAUAAGCGGGUUGUAGUGUUCGUGAUUUUGGGCUGCUAGACCAAUUCAUUCAAACGGCUCUGCGACGAGGCACAUUCCUUAAUUCGUGCACUAUUCACGCGAGACAAUAGACAUAGAUAUUUUGAUUAAUUAUGGUUUUUCAGCUUGUUACUUCUCGUGUUUACAUUUCAUAUUUCGAAUGCUGAUCUUCAUUUGUGUAGUAGAACCUCAGACCGAUGGGAGUCGUCCAUUUAUUUGGCCAAUGGCAAUGUUUGGCGGGUGAAUCCUGAAUCUCCAACCCAAAGGCUACGAACUGUGACUGGACUCCAUUAUUUGUGUAAGUCACCUCCAGCAAUCGACUUUGGAUGUGGAGAGUAGACCCUUGAGGUGGGUGUUUGUAGCACACUCAGCGCCCCAUUCGACUGACAAGUCUCAGGUUCAGGUCCUCCCCGUGUCAAGUGGCUGAUCUGCUCUGCAUCAUGGCCACGCAAGAAGUUACUGUUAUUCGGGAGAACGCGCCAACGGGCGCCUGUUCAUCGCCGAUUCCCACAUCUAUAGUUCUUCCCGAAGAACUGCCGAUGUUGUUUAUCUGAGGUGCCACUCAAUUCGGGGUUGCCCGGGCACAGCGGUGUACUGCGAGGGAGACACGUUUUUUCGAACUCUCGUGGACCACUCGCACCCUCCAGAUAGAGAUGAAGAAGAGAAGUAUCUGUUUGUUAGAGUCUGCGUGAUGAGGCCACACUGACUACCCUAGAAGUCGACGCGAUCGUCGUUCCACUCACUCAAAGGUAUCCCCUUGGCGCAUCAAUCUUCUCCGCGUCAGAGGUCAGAACUAUCAUCAGGCGAGCAAGGGAGUGUGUCCAGCCACCUCCCACCAUUAUGGCGGCUUUGAUUACUACGCUAGAAGAUCCAAAAUGGAACUCGUUCACGCUCAUGGCACUAACGAGGGACAGAAAAUUUUACGUUGGCCCCAUUGAGGUGCCACAAGGUAAAAGUGUUGUAUUUAGGUCGCAGACCUUCGAUCUUCCUGAGGUUCUCGACAUCUUCAUUACCUACAGUCCUAUAGCUCCCAGGCACCCGGCCACUCUGGGAAAAGUACUCCUGGUAGGAUUUUUUAUCCAGGGCGACCAGGGGAAAGUUCUGGUAAGGAGUGGUGUGAGCAUCUUUGUAAUGGAAUUCAGUCAACAAAACAUGCCUAAUCUGUUAUCUUGUUACAAGCUGUUCCACUGAUGUAUGUAUGGCUGGAGGAUACUUCAUACCUGAAUGUCUUGAAUGCCCUGAGGGCUUUAAACCUCGGGUUUCUGACCAGGCGCGGCGGAACGUUUUUGAACCAGGGGGGGGCAAGCCUGAGGGCGCCUUCGGCGCCUCCCUCACCCCCAUUGCAAAAUAACUAUUUUCCUUCUUUAAAAAUUCAAUUCUCAGAAACUGUUUGCCAUUUUGUCCAUAUUUAUUGAAACUUGAAGAGACUGUUGGACGUGAAGAGUUGCAUGCUGACCAUUGUGACAGAAUUUAUACUCAUAACUCAUACCUAAAAGCUUUGGUCUUUGAGAGGAUGA
Molecule: long non-coding RNA, 2835 nt
Organism: Frankliniella occidentalis (western flower thrips)
Lineage: Eukaryota; Metazoa; Arthropoda; Insecta; Thysanoptera; Thripidae
Exons: 3
Source: RefSeq, a predicted model, not a curated record